This 902-nucleotide ribosomal RNA is filed under the name uncultured bacterium. RNAcentral describes it as "bacterial SSU rRNA". It matches the Rfam family "Bacterial small subunit ribosomal RNA", at positions 8 to 916 of the family's 1533-position model. The record is from RNAcentral.
AGAGUUUGAUCCUGGCUCAGGACGAACGCUGGCGGCGUGCCUAACACAUGCAAGUCGAGCGGGGUUGAAGCGAGGGGUAACUCAAGCUUCUACCUAGCGGCGGACGGGUGAGUAACGCGUGGGCAACCUGCCUCAAGGUCUGGGAUAACAGCUCGAAAGGGCUGCUAAUACCGGAUAUGCCUAUGGCCUCGCAUGGGGCUAUGAGCAAAGGGGAAACCUGCCUUGAGAUGGGCCCGCGUCCCAUCAGCUAGUUGGUGAGGUGAAAGCUCACCAAGGCGACGACGGGUAGCCGGCCUGAGAGGGUGACCGGCCACACUGGGACUGAGACACGGCCCAGACUCCUACGGGAGGCAGCAGUCGGGAAUCUUCCACAAUGGGCGAAAGCCUGAUGGAGCGACGCCGCGUGAGGGAAGAAGGUCUUCGGAUCGUAAACCUCUGUCCUCAGGGACGAUAAUGACGGUACCUGAGGAGGAAGCCACGGCUAACUACGUGCCAGCAGCCGCGGUAAUACGUAGGUGGCGAGCGUUACUCGGAAUUACUAGGCGUAAAGCGUAUGCAGGCGGUCAGAUAAGUCUCUGGUGAAAACUCACGGCUCAACCGUGAGAGGCCCAGGGAUACUGUUUGGCUUGAGUGUGGGAGGGGGAGACGGAAUUCCUGGUGUAGCGGUGAAAUGCGUAGAUAUCAGGAGGAACACCGAUGGCGAAAGCAGUCUCCUGGCCCAAUACUGACGCUAAUAUACGAAAGCUAGGGUAGCAAACAGGAUUAGAUACCCUGGUAGUCCUAGCUGUAAACGAUGUUCACUAGAUGUGGGAGGUAUCGACCCCUUCCGCGUCGACGCUAACGCAUUAAGUGAACCGCCUGGGGAGUACGGCCGCAAGGUUGAAACUCAAAUGAAUUGACGG